CCUGGCCCAGGAUUAUUUGCUGAAUGAAAACAUUGAUGAAUUACGAAUGACCAUUAACUUCAUGAGCAGAAGACCAACACAUGGGGCAACCAUCCAUCCUUGGUGUCUUCCAGAAAGUCGGCUUCACUAUGUGCCAAGCACACUUGGCAUCUUUGCCCUCUGCAUACCUUCUCAGCACAGAAGCCGGAGGUCAGAUCCUGUUCCCUGGUGCUUCCCCUUGUGGCCCUGCAUGGCGUGGCUUGUCCUGUCUUGGGAACCGUGUGUAACAAACUAUCUUUUCAAUGGCAAUUAUCUCUGCCUCCAUCUGUUGGCCUCACCAUACCUGAAUAAUAAUAAAAAUCUACAUUUGAAAACACUGCCCCACUUCCAUAUUUGAAACA
Rhinolophus ferrumequinum (greater horseshoe bat) is the source of this 380-nucleotide long non-coding RNA. RefSeq lists it as uncharacterized. The record is from RefSeq and is a predicted model, not a curated record. The transcript is spliced from 3 exons. NCBI's taxonomy places the organism in Eukaryota, Metazoa, Chordata, Mammalia, Chiroptera, Rhinolophidae.